This 109-nucleotide ribosomal RNA is filed under the name Pteropus alecto (black flying fox). Lineage: Eukaryota; Metazoa; Chordata; Mammalia; Chiroptera; Pteropodidae. The record is from RNAcentral.
GUUUAUGGACAUACCACCCUGAACGUGCCUGAUUUCGAAAGCUAAGCAGGGUCAGGCCUAGUUAGUACUUGGGUGGGAGACCACCUAGGAAUACCAGGUGCUGUAGGAA